UUCCUCCUGGGAGGUGGGACAUGCCCCUGCCCACUGCUCCACAGAGAAUCCCCUCCUCAACACAUGUGGUCACCUCUGAGCACCUGCCUUCUUCUUCCUCUGAUCCCGGAAGCUACAGGAAGCUUCUCAUGUGACCAACUGUUACAGCUACCAGGUGUUCUCAAAUCUGAACUGUUACAGCUGCCAGGUGUUCUCAGAUCUGAACUGUUACAGCUGCCAGGUGUUCACAAACCCGCAAGGCAGAGCGGGCUUGUCUUCCUU
This is a long non-coding RNA of Cercocebus atys (sooty mangabey), 261 nucleotides long. RefSeq lists it as uncharacterized. Lineage: Eukaryota; Metazoa; Chordata; Mammalia; Primates; Cercopithecidae. The transcript has 3 exons. The record is from RefSeq and is a predicted model, not a curated record.